CCUACGGGAGGCAGCAGUAGGGAAUUUUCCGCAAUGGGCGAAAGCCUGACGGAGCAAUACCGCGUGAGGGAUGACUGCCUAUGGGUUGUAAACCUCUUUUUUCAGGGAGGAAUAAAUGACGUGUACCUGAAGAAUAAGCAUCGGCUAACUCCGUGCCAGCAGCCGCGGUAAGACGGAGGAUGCAAGUGUUAUCCGGAAUCACUGGGCGUAAAGCGUCUGUAGGUGGCUCGACAAGUCAACUGUUAAAUCUUGAAGCUCAACUUCAAAAUCGCAGUCGAAACUAUCGGACUAGAGUAUAGUAGAGGUAAACGGGAAUUUCCAGUGGAGCGGUGAAAUGCGUAGAGAUUGGAAAGAACACCGAUGGCGAAGGCACUUUACUGGGCUAUUACUGACACUCAGAGACGAAAGCUAGGGUAGCAAAUGGGAUUAGAUACCCCAGUAGUCCUAGCCGUAAACAAUGGAUACUAGGUGUUGAACAGAUCGACCUGUGCAGUACCAAAGCUAACGCGUUAAGUAUCCCGCCUGGGAAGUAUGNCGCAGUAGUGAACGUACAACGAAGUAGACGGCGUGAGACGUGCCGACGGACGACCGACGACGGGAGGUAGG
Molecule: ribosomal RNA, 606 nt
Filed under: uncultured bacterium
Lineage: Bacteria
Description: bacterial SSU rRNA
Rfam family: Bacterial small subunit ribosomal RNA (bases 1-523)
Source: RNAcentral